Molecule: ribosomal RNA, 2832 nt
Filed under: human gut metagenome
Description: Bacterial large subunit ribosomal RNA
Rfam family: Bacterial large subunit ribosomal RNA
Source: RNAcentral
UCAAGCGAAGAAGAGCACAGGGUGAAUGCCUUGGCAUCAGGAGCCGAAGAAGGACGUGACAAGCUGCGAAAAGCUGCGGGGAGCUGCAAAUAAGCCUUGAUCCGCAGAUAUCCGAAUUGGGAAACCACGCCGAUGAAGAAUCGGUGAUCGUGCAAUGAAUCCAUAGUUGUACGAGGGGAACCUCCCGAACUGAAACAUCUAAGUAGGGAGAGGAAGAGAAAUCAAACGAGAUUCCGUGAGUAGUGGCGAGCGAAAAUGGAAGAGGCUAAACCGAUGGUAGCAAUACGAUCGGGGUUUCGGACUGCGGAAUGCAUUGCGGACGUGUAGUCGAACGGCAUGGGAAGGCCGGCCAAAGACGGUGAGAGCCCGGUAGACGAAACGCGGAAGCAGCAGGCAGGAUCCAGAGUACCGGCGGACACGAGGAAUCCGGCGGGAAGAUGGGGGGACCACCCUCCAAGCCUAAAUACUACCUGAUGACCGAUAGUGGAGCAGUACUGUGAAGGAAAGGUGAAAAGAACCCCGGGAGGGGAGUGAAAAAGAACCUGAAACCCUGUGUUUACAAGCACACAAAGCACGUUCAGGUGCGAUGUGGUACUUUUUGUAGAACGGUCCGGCGAGUUAAUGUAUGCAGCGAGGUUAAGCACUGAAGGUGCGCAGCCGAAGGGAAACCGAGUGUGAAUAGCGCGUAAAGUUGCAUGGAUUAGACCCGAAACCGAGUGACCUAUCCAUGAGCAGGUUGAAGGUGGGGUAAAGCCCACUGGAGGACCGAACCGACCCCCGUUGAAAAGUUGGCGGAUGACUUGUGGAUAGCGGAGAAAUUCCAAUCGAACUCGGAGAUAGCUGGUUCUCCCCGAAAUAGCUUUAGGGCUAGCCUCGUAUAGAUUUACCGGGGGUAAAGCACUGAAUGGUCUAGGGGUCGAAAGAUUACCGAAACCUAUCAAACUAAGAAUACCGGAUAAAUGCGUACGGGAGUCAGACUACGUGAGAUAAGUCUCGUGGUCAAAAGGGAAACAGCCCAGAUCUACAGCUAAGGUCCCAAAUGGUAUACUAAGUGGAGAAGGAUGUGACGAUGCUAAGACAACUAGGAUGUUGGCUUAGAAGCAGCCACUCAUUAAAAGAGUGCGUAAUAGCUCACUAGUCGAGUGACGUUGCGCCGAAAAUUUAACGGGGCUAAGUAUACAACCGAAGCUUAGGCAGUGAAAACUGGGUAGGGGAGCGUUCCAUACGGGGAGAAGUCUGAGCGAAAGCACAGGUGGACUGUAUGGAAGAGAGAAUGCCGGAAUGAGUAGCGAGAAUUGCGUGAGAAUCGUAAUGGCCGAAAAUCUAAGGUUUCUUGGGGAAGGUUCGUCCGCCCAAGGUAAGCCGGGAGCUAAGGCGAGGCCGAAAGGCGUAGUCGAUGCACAUACGGUGGAAAUUCCGUAGCCGCCAGCCACUUAAAGGUACUGACACAAUGUGAAAGCUUGACCCGGGCGUUGGUCGCCCCGGGCGAAAGGGACUGAAAUACAAGUAGGGAAGCAAGCGGACACAGUGGCGAGAAAAGGUACCGGGGAUGUGGAAGGCGCCCGUACCGCAAACCGACACAGGUAGAUGAGGAGAGGAUCCUAAGGCCAGCGGGAGAAGGGUUGUUAAGGAACUCGGCAUAUUGACCCCGUAACUUCGGGAGAAGGGGUGCCUGCGCAAGCAGGCCGCAGUGAAAAGGCCCAGGCGACUGUUUACCAAAAACAUAGGUCUCUGCGAAACCGAAAGGUGAAGUAUAGGGGCUGACGCCUGCCCGGUGCUGGAAGGUCAAGGGGAAGUGUAAGAGCAAUCGAAGCACAGAACUUAAGCCCCAGUAAACGGCGGCCGUAACUAUAACGGUCCUAAGGUAGCGAAAUUCCUUGUCAGGUAAGUUCUGACCCGCACGAAUGGCGUAACGAUCUGGGCACUGUCUCAACAGCCCGCCCGGCGAAAUUGUAGUACCGGUGAAGAUGCCGGUUACCCGCGACUAGACGGAAAGACCCCAUGGAGCUUUACUGUAGCUUGAUACUGGAUUUCGGCACAUGAUGUACAGGAUAGGUGGGAGCCGUAGAAACAGGGGCGUCAGCUUCUGCGGAGGCAACCUUGGGAUACCACUCUUGAUGUAUCGGGAUUCUAACCAGCCCCCGUGGAACCGGGGGUGGGACAAUGUCAGGUGGGCAGUUUGACUGGGGCGGUCGCCUCCUAAAGCGUAACGGAGGCGUUCAAAGGUCGGCUCAGCGCGGACGGAAAUCGCGCAAUGAGUAUAAACGCAAAAGCCGGCCUAACUGCGAGACCAACAAGUCGAGCAGUAACGAAAGUUGGAGUUAGUGAUCAGACGGUAGUGAGUGGAAAUGCCGUCGCUUAACGGAUAAAAGCUACCCUGGGGAUAACAGGCUGAUCUCCCCCAAGAGUUCACAUCGACGGGGAGGUUUGGCACCUCGAUGUCGGCUCAUCACAUCCUGGGGCUGAAUUCGGUCCCAAGGGUUCGGCUGUCCGCCGAUUAAAGUGGUACGCGAGCUGGGUUCAGAACGUCGUGAGACAGUUCGGUCCCUAUCUGUCGUGGGCGAAGGAUAUUUGAGAGGAGCUGUCCUUAGUACGAGAGGACCGGGAUGGACAUACCUCCGGUGCACCAGUUGUCCUGCCAAGGGCACAGCUGGGUAGCUGUGUAUGGAUGUGAUAAACGCUGAAAGCAUCUAAGCGUGAAGCACACCUCAAGAUAAGAUAUCCCACAGCUUUAAGCUGGUAAGACCCCUUCUAGACUAGGAGGUAGAUAGGUCGGAGGUGGAAGCGCAGUAAUGUGUGUAGCUGACCGAUACUAAUAGGUUGAGGGCUUGA